This 395-nucleotide ribosomal RNA is filed under the name uncultured bacterium. RNAcentral's name for it is "partial 16S ribosomal RNA". It matches the Rfam family "Bacterial small subunit ribosomal RNA", at positions 338 to 730 of the family's 1533-position model. The record is from RNAcentral.
CCUACGGGAGGCAGCAGUGAGGAAUAUUGGUCAAUGGCCGGAAGGCUGAACCAGCCAUGCCGCGUGAAGGUCAGUGCCCUAUGGGCGUUAAACUUCUUUUGUGCGGGAGCAAUCAUGGUCACGUGUGGGCAGACGAGAGUACCGUACGAAUAAGCAUCGGCUAACUCCGUGCCAGCAGCCGCGGUAAUACGGGGGAUGCAAGCGUUAUUCGGGUUUAUUUGGUUCUAAGGGUGCGUAGGCUGGGCGGUAAGUCAGCGGUGAAAUGCCCCCGUUCAACGGGGCGAAGUGCCAUUGAUACUGGCUGGCUGGAAUGCGGAUGCGGUGGGAGGAAUUUGUGGUGUAGCGGUGAAAUGCAUAGAUAUCACACAGAACACCGAUUGCGAAGGCAUCUCACG